This is a non-coding RNA of Myotis brandtii (Brandt's bat), 74 nucleotides long. NCBI's taxonomy places the organism in Eukaryota, Metazoa, Chordata, Mammalia, Chiroptera, Vespertilionidae. The record is from Rfam.
GCUCGUGUGGCUCAGUGGAUAGAGCAUCGGCCUGCAGACUGAAGGGUCCUGGGUUUGAUUCCCGGUCAAGGGCA